UCUGUGGAGUGUUAUAUCAAACUGAAGUAGCCUUGGCAAAACAGGACACGAUGAAGCAGAAA
RNAcentral lists this non-coding RNA (62 nucleotides) under unclassified sequences. RNAcentral describes it as "RAGATH-18 RNA". It matches the Rfam family "RAGATH-18 RNA". Rfam says of the family: Actinobacteria, Firmicutes, Fusobacteria, Thermotogae (1 example). Nearby to self-cleaving ribozyme genes The record is from Rfam by way of RNAcentral.